CCUACGGGAGGCAGCAGUGGGGAAUUUUGGACAAUGGGCGCAAGCCUGAUCCAGCCAUGCCGCGUGCGGGAAGAAGGCCUUCGGGUUGUAAACCGCUUUUGUCAGGGAAGAAAUCCUUUGGGCUAAUACCCUAGGGGGAUGACGGUACCUGAAGAAUAAGCACCGGCUAACUACGUGCCAGCAGCCGCGGUAAUACGUAGGGUGCAAGCGUUAAUCGGAAUUACUGGGCGUAAAGCGUGCGCAGGCGGUGAUGCAAGACAGAUGUGAAAUCCCCGGGCUCAACCUGGGAACUGCAUUUGUGACUGCAUCGCUGGAGUGCGGCAGAGGGGGAUGGAAUUCCGCGUGUAGCAGUGAAAUGCGUAGAUAUGCGGAGGAACACCGAUGGCGAAGGCAAUCCCCUGGGCCUGCACUGACGCUCAUGCACGAAAGCGUGGGGAGCAAACAGGAUUAGAUACCCUGGUAGUCCACGCCCUAAACGAUGUCAACUGGUUGUUGGGAGGGUUUCUUCUCAGUAACGUAGCUAACGCGUGAAGUUGACCGCCUGGGGNGGACGGCGCGAGUAGAAGUAAAGUAAGUAGACGNGNGAGAGNGCGACGACGACGACGAGGGAGGAGG
Molecule: ribosomal RNA, 615 nt
Filed under: uncultured bacterium
Lineage: Bacteria
Description: bacterial SSU rRNA
Rfam family: Bacterial small subunit ribosomal RNA (bases 1-542)
Source: RNAcentral